CCUCCUUAUCCAGAUGCUCCUGCUCCUCUUCUUGGACCUCUGCAGACUCCGGAGCUGCUGAUGGGCUGGACACAGGAGGCUAGGGGGGGAAAAAGAACAUUUAUAUCAAGUAGUUUUUAUUGCUUCAAUGUAUAUACAGAAAGACCCCGCAGAGUCAAAGCCAUUCAUCACGGACUGAAGCUGUGUGUCUCCCUCUUGUGGUUACAUGAGCGACAGGAGCAACAAAUCAAAACUGAGAUGGCCUCAACUUUUUUCUGCAUCAGCCUUUCAUGGAUUCAUCUGUGCGGAGGGUCAAGGUGAGUUCAAGUCAACUCCUGGUAAUGAUCGUGACAGAAUACUGCGGGUUGGUGGUAUUAAAGAGGGACACCAAAGGUACACAGUGGGAGGUUACGGUGCCAGGUAACAGCACUCGGAUCCAAUGAUCUGGAUAAUCCUGACCCUGAACUGUGAGCUUUACACUGGCUCGAAACACCCCACUGACCUCAGCCCGGAUACGGUUACAGCCCCGUGAAGGAUUUCUCCAAGGCUCUCCUUCAGUGUUCAACAACAGCAGGUACAUAAAUAGCACCUUUGUGCCCUCAAUCCUCAGCAAACAAUGGCAUGCUCCAGUAAAGUGGGACUUUAACUGGUAAUUAUCACUACGCAACAUCAGUGUCAGACUAAACUUUGACAUGGCACACUGGCACUAAAACCAUGCAACACUAAGCACAGUGUUUAGAGGGGAUACACUGUAUUGUCUAAACCUUGACACUAAUGUAAUGCAAUGUAAAUGAGAAAAAGUAUAUAUAGAAAAAACAUACAACAAUUAGAAUUAUAACUUCAUAUGGAUUUUUUCACAUAUACACAUGCACCAGGCUGCAAAAACCUUUCUCAGUUGUAUCACAUUGUUUAAAUAAAGUAAAUUCAAUGCAGUUCAACUAAUAAAAAUGCAAAAUUAAGUCUAUAUCCUUUGCACAAGCUAAUAAAUCCAAGAGGGAAGCCCUGGUGAAGUCCAACACCCACGGUAAUGAGUCUGAUUUAUUUAAUCCAAGCCAAGCUCUUACUGUGGUGGAACAGAGGUUGAAUACCUCACGAAAACUACAACCCACAAAGAGGCAUGUGGUUGAAUGUCUUUUCCUACAAAACUCACAUAGAUGGGUUGGGCAAACUCCCAUGUGCCCUGAGACAGCCCUGAGAGGAUAUAGGGCUGAACUGCAAUCCUGAAUCCAAGGAUUGUCCAAGGGACACAUGAUUCUGUCCAUCACCCUGACAUAGACCUGAGGCCUUGAGAGUGGCAAUCUACCACCCCAGUUUGCCUUUCCUGAUUAUGAUUAGACAUAUCUUGGCACAAUCUGCUGAGUUUUUGUCAUUUCUAAGGUGAAGUUUGUGGUUCUGUUGAAUGACAACUAAUGUUUGGGCUUUUUGCACUCAAAACCUGUUGCUUUUGACUGUUUUCAGUUCUAUGUCAGUGUAUCUGAUAAACUGACAGCUCAAUAGUGUCUCAUCAUCCCUUGAUAAAGUU
This is a long non-coding RNA of Oreochromis aureus, 1501 nucleotides long. RefSeq lists it as uncharacterized. The transcript has 4 exons. Lineage: Eukaryota; Metazoa; Chordata; Actinopteri; Cichliformes; Cichlidae. The record is from RefSeq and is a predicted model, not a curated record.